GAUGAACGCUGGCGGCGUGCCUAAUACAUGCAAGUCGAGCGAACGGACGAGAAUCUUUCUUCUCUGAUGUUAGCGGCGGACGGGUGAGUAACACGUGGCUAACCUACCUAUAAGACUGGGAUCACUUCGGGGAACCUGAUCUCAUAUCGGAUAAUAUUUUGAACCGCAUGGUUCAAAAGUGAACGGCGGUCUUGCUGUCACUUAUAGAUGGAUCCGCGCUGCAUUAGCUAGUUGGUAAGGUAACGGCUUACCAAGGCAACGAUGCAUAGCCGACCUGAGAGGGUGAUCGGCCACACUGGAACUGAGACACGGUCCAGACUCCUACGGGAGGCAGCAGUAGGGAAUCUUCCGCAAUGGGCGAAAGCCUGACGGAGCAACGCCGCGUGAGUGAUGAAGGUCUUCGGAUCGUAAAACUCUGUUAUUAGGGAAGAACAUAUGUGUAAGUAACUGUGCACAUCUUGACGGUACCUAAUCAGAAAGCCACGGCUAACUACGUG
This 497-nucleotide ribosomal RNA is filed under the name uncultured bacterium. RNAcentral's name for it is "partial 16S ribosomal RNA". It matches the Rfam family "Bacterial small subunit ribosomal RNA", at positions 28 to 507 of the family's 1533-position model. The record is from RNAcentral.